AGGGUUAAUACGACUCACUUAUCAGUGAGGAGGCUGUGGAAAUCUCCAUAUAAAAGACUGUAACUAUAAUCCAGAAAGUCUGAAGAGACUGCAAGACUUGAGAUCGGGUGAUGUUAAACGUACUUUCAGGGUAAGGGUAAAAUCCUGUAAUCCCGGAAGGACGACCAGUGGCGAAAGCGUUUAACUAGAACGAAUCUGACGGUAAGGAACGAAGGCUAGGGUAGCAAACCGGAUUAGAUACCCGGGUAGUCCUAGCUGUAAACAUUGCCCAUUUGAUGUUGCUUUCCCGUUGAGGGAAGGCAGUGUCGGAGCGAAGGUGUUAAAUGGGCCGCUUGGGAAGUAUGGUCGCAAGACUGAAACUUAAAGGAAUUGGCGGGGGAGCACCGCAACGGGAGGAAUGUGCGGUUUAAUUGGAUUCAACGCCGGAAAACUCACCGGGAACGACCUGUGCAUGAGAGUCAACUUGACGAGCUUUCUCGAUAACCGGAGAGGUGGUGCAUGGCC
This 504-nucleotide ribosomal RNA is filed under the name uncultured bacterium. RNAcentral describes it as "bacterial SSU rRNA". It matches the Rfam family "Archaeal small subunit ribosomal RNA", at positions 487 to 999 of the family's 1478-position model. The record is from RNAcentral.